AAAAAGAUAAGCUAAUGAAGCUUCUAGGUUCAUACCCUAUAUAUAAAGGUUUUAAUCCUUUUCUUUUUA
RNAcentral lists this transfer RNA (69 nucleotides) under Microchironomus tener. Its description in RNAcentral is "tRNA-Met". It matches the Rfam family "tRNA". Rfam says of the family: Transfer RNA (tRNA) molecules are approximately 80 nucleotides in length. Lineage: Eukaryota; Metazoa; Arthropoda; Insecta; Diptera; Chironomidae. The record is from RNAcentral.